Molecule: ribosomal RNA, 497 nt
Filed under: uncultured bacterium
Lineage: Bacteria
Description: partial 16S ribosomal RNA
Rfam family: Bacterial small subunit ribosomal RNA
Source: RNAcentral
GAUGAACGCUGGCGGCGUGCCUAAUACAUGCAAGUCGAGCGAACGGACGAUAUGCUUGCUUCUCUGAUGUUAGCGGCGGACGGGAGAGUAACAUGUGGAUAACCUACCUAUAAGACAGGGAUAACAUCGGGAAACCGGAGCUAAUACCGGACGCUAUUUUGAACCGCAUGGUUGAAAAGUUCAAGCCGGUCUUGCUGUCACUUAUACAUGGAUCCGCGCUGCAUUAGCUGGUUGGUAAGGUAACGGCUUACCAAGGCGACGAUGGAUAGCCGACCUGAGAGGGUGAUCGGCGACAGUGGAGCUGAGACGCGGUACAGAGUCCUACGGGAGGCAGCAGUAGGGAAGCGUGCGCGAAGGGCGGAAGACUGACGGAGCAGCGCCAGGUGGGUGAUGAAGGUCUUCGGAUCGUAAGACUCUGUUAUUGGGGAAGAACGUAUGUGUAAGUAACUGUGCACAUCUUGACGGUACCUAAACAGGAAGCCACGGCUAACUACGUG